UACGUAGGGGGCAAGCGUUGUCCGGAUUUACUGGGCGUAAAGAGCGUGUAGGCGGCCAGGUAGGUCUGCUGUGAAAACUCGAGGCUCAACCUCGAGACGUCGGCGGAAACCAUCUGGCUAGAGUCCGGAAGAGGAGAGUGGAAUUCCCGGUGUAGCGGUGAAAUGCGCAGAUAUCGGGAAGAACACCCGUGGCGAAGGCGGUUCUCUGGGACGGUACUGACGCUGAGACGCGAAAGCGUGGGGAGCGAACAGG
This 253-nucleotide ribosomal RNA is filed under the name uncultured bacterium. RNAcentral's name for it is "partial 16S ribosomal RNA". It matches the Rfam family "Bacterial small subunit ribosomal RNA", at positions 524 to 776 of the family's 1533-position model. The record is from RNAcentral.